GACGAACGCUGGCGGCGUGCUUAACACAUGCAAGUCGAACGGAAAGGCCCUGCUUUUGUGGGGUGCUCGAGUGGCGAACGGGUGAGUAACACGUGAGUAACCUGCCCUUGACUUUGGGAUAACUUCAGGAAACUGGGGCUAAUACCGGAUAGGAGCUCCUGCUGCAUGGUGGGGGUUGGAAAGUUUCGGCGGUUGGGGAUGGACUCGCGGCUUAUCAGCUUGUUGGUGGGGUAGUGGCUUACCAAGGCUUUGACGGGUAGCCGGCCUGAGAGGGUGACCGGCCACAUUGGGACUGAGAGACGGCCCAGACGCCUACGGGAGGCAGCAGUGGGGAAUAUUGCACAAUGGGCGGAAGCCUGAUGCAGCAACGCCGCGUGCGGGAUGACGGCCUUCGGGUGGUAAACCGCUUUCGCCUGUGACGAAGCGUGAGUGACGGUAAUGGGUAAAGAAGCACCGGCUAACUACGUG
RNAcentral lists this ribosomal RNA (468 nucleotides) under uncultured bacterium. RNAcentral describes it as "partial 16S ribosomal RNA". It matches the Rfam family "Bacterial small subunit ribosomal RNA", at positions 28 to 507 of the family's 1533-position model. The record is from RNAcentral.